AAAAAAGAUAAUGGAAAUACAAGGUUCUAAGAAGAUAACAAAGAAAAAUAAAGUAAAAUAAUGUCGGAUGGCGAACAAGUGACUCACACAACAGACAAGUUUGAAAUCCUUCGGAGAUUUCGUGUAUUUUAAAUUUAAACGAAAAUGGGAAGCUCGUCAUUUGAAGAAUUUUCGUUAGAUUUGAUUUUUACUAGAAUUAUUGCUCCACAAUUAAUCGAGUAUGACAGCAAGUAGGUAUGAUUGAAGAAUUCUGUUGAGGUUGGUAAUUUUAUUUAUUUACGGUUGGUAUCAUUGCUUUGAUUUGUGUUGUCGCAAAUGGAUGACAGUUUUCUUUGUACAGGCUGUUCUACAUAAUUCAAUUUUUCAAACAUUUUUUUUAAUCCUUUAUUUUUCAUUUAGAACCUCGAAGAGUAUUUAUAACUCCAAACACCGGAGAGGGAGGAAUUCAUUUUCUUUAAACCGCGUUUAUUAUUGUUUAAUAAAAUGGAUCCAAAUUGUGUUGAGGAAUUGGGCACUUCCAUAAUUGAGACGAGUGAAUAUGAAUUGGACGAGAAAGCAGCUACUGCUGAAAUGAUACAGUUCUUUGCUAAUGUACAUACAUAUAAUGUAUGAUAAAGAAAUGUUGAGGAUUCUCGUUAUUUAUUGAAUAAGAAGGAUGCCUCGAUAAAGAAGAUGACCUCAGCCUUUACAUAAAUCCGAACAAAAAGGAAGUAAAAAGGAUAUUUUCAAGCGAUCAUCCAACGCAACUUGAGAUAGAGUACAUUAUCAAGGGAUGAAACCGUAUUAUAAGUUAUAUGCAACAAGUGUAUGUAUUUUUUAUGUAUUUCUGGAGAUAAUGCAGUGAAGAAAGGAUUUUUAUCCAGUUUUGCUUAUUGUCAAGUAUUUAAUUAUCAAGUGAUCCGAUGAAGAGGGUUAAGAAAGAUUCCAGGAACCUCAAGAGGCCCGUCAAGUUCACCGUACGUACAACAAACAAACCAACUUAUCAACUCACGAAGAACAAGAAACAUGGACAAUAGUAAAUAUACCGAGCGAGGCCAAAGCAAUAGAUACAAGAUGGAUAUUUACUACAAAGAAAGACGGUACAAAAAAGGCACGGCUAGUUGGCAAUUAGGUUUUCAACUCAAAAAUGAGGAAUGGAAUUCAAUAUACGUCCCAGUAUCCAGGAUAAGAUCAACGAUAAGAAUGUUUAUGGUUCAUGCGAUUAAUAAUAAUUGGCUAAUAAAACAAUUAGAGCAUUUUUAAGUGGUAAACUAACUGACAAUGUAUUUAUAAAGAUACCAGAAGGAAUAAACAAGGAAAAAGGAAAUGUAUUGAACAAGGGUAUUAUAUGGACUUAAAGAGGCACCAAAGUGUUGGGAUGAACAAUUUGAUCAAUGGAUUCAAAAGAUCAAAGUAUGAUUUGUGUCUACACACAAAGAAAGAUGUGUACACAAGAAACAAUAGAAAGGUUAAAACACGAAUUUAAGGCAAAACAUGUAGGAGAAUUAAAUAAGUUUUUGGGAAUGGAAAUAAUAAGGGAAGAAAAUACUUUGAGAAGAAUAUAUUGAUAAAAUUUUGAAGAGAUUUAAUACAACAGACCGCAAGGUUAAGAAAACGCCAAUGGAAGUAAGAUAUCAAUUUGAGGAACAAGGAAGGACAACCUUAUAGAGAACUAUUUUAAGUUGAUUAUAGUAUAUAGCAACCAUUUCAACAACCGACACAAAAACUUUAAAAACUCCCAAAAUGUCGUAAUAAUUACCAAAAUUACCCUCGUGAUGUUUUCACUCCACUCGUCUCAAAAUAUAUAAAAACAAAUCAAAUGUUAAACCGAUCAUCUGCGACCUCUCAUAAGGAAUAGGAAAAGUAAAAGGAGUAGGAAUCUCGA
This is a non-coding RNA of Onthophagus taurus, 1864 nucleotides long. The record is from RefSeq and is a predicted model, not a curated record. Lineage: Eukaryota; Metazoa; Arthropoda; Insecta; Coleoptera; Scarabaeidae.